UAUUAAAAUUUUCAUUCAUUUCUAUUGUUAAAAACUGGCAUGGCUGACAAAAUAACCAAAUAGUGUCACCUAGUAUGUGUAUCUCAAGCUAAAAUACAAGGACCAAUUUUUAACAGUAAAAAUGAAUAAAUUUUUUAAGA
Molecule: non-coding RNA, 140 nt
Organism: Gossypium arboreum
Lineage: Eukaryota; Viridiplantae; Streptophyta; Magnoliopsida; Malvales; Malvaceae
Source: Rfam